Molecule: long non-coding RNA, 1237 nt
Filed under: Linum usitatissimum (flax)
Lineage: Eukaryota; Viridiplantae; Streptophyta; Magnoliopsida; Malpighiales; Linaceae
Description: long non-coding RNA (LUSI_LNC003837)
Source: RNAcentral
AUUUGACAAACAAACAACCUAUUCGUAACUGAUUAUUGUCAUUAAUAGUCUCGUACGUUAAAAUUUUUUUUAAAACGACACUUAAGUAAAAAGAUCAAACUUUUUGGUCUGAACCAAAAUUAUAUCCGUCACCGUUAAUGUCCAUUUCGCCACAUUAGAGAUCCACAGUUGUAUGCCACCUCAUCAUUAAUUCGAAUCAUUCAUUUACAAAUUAAAAACAAAAAACAAAAAUUCUUCUCUCCCUCGCCUCUUUCUCUCUUUUCCGUACCUCCCUCCAUUUUAUCUCCCUAUUUUUCAAAAGUAAAAAAAAACAGAGGACGUACCCUCUCCAAUGAGUAGUUGAAUCAUAGUUCUUCUCCCUUUCUUUUUUCCCUCUCUCCAUUUCAUCUCUCUGCUUCUCAAACUAAAAAAAAUAGAGGAGGUAGCCUUGAUGCCGUUUCCUAGUGGUAGUGGAGGAUUUCUCCAUAGAGUACGAGGUGGAGGAACUGGACGAGGAUUACGACACCGCGAUAGUAUACGAAGUAUGCCAUUGAAGCCAAGAUUCAGCAACGAUAGAACAAUAUACAUGCAAGCAUUUACAUUGGCUAGCUCAAAAUCAACUGCUGCUACGCAGGACUGCAUCAGUACAUCACUACAGACUCCUGCUAUCUCAUGUUAAUUGUCAAUUUCCAUUUUUCAUCGGAACAACCAAGACACAAAGACUGGCAAGUAUGUCUCCUAGAGCAGACGAGAGGCAAUCACUUUGAUAAUCAUGAAAAGCAAAGCAAAACAUCUCAUAUACCUGCUGCUGGUAAAGGGUCGUGACAGCUUCAAUCAUUAGCUCGGUCUGCAGAUGGCCAUCGACGUUGUUGUAACAACUACUGUUUUAACUCGUAUUUGAACAUAGCUAGACAUGAGAGUCGAUAAACAUGAUAGCUGGAAGUUACAUAGUCAGCGCCUUUUUGGUUAUAAUAAUGGAUGGAGAAAAGCUGAAUAGGCAACUCUGGAGGACACUCCUGGACAGAUUACUCUAGUUAAAAUACUUCAUUUGAUUUGGGUUGGAUCUGAAACUCAACUAAGGAAGGAGUGCACGUCCUCUUACAGUUGUGGGUAGUGCUAGGAUGAAGGUCUAUGGAGAAAUCCUCCACUACCAAUGGGAAAAGGCAUCAAGGCUACCUCCUCUGUUUUAUAGUUUGAGAAACAGAGAGAUGAAAUGGAGAGAGGGAAGAAAGAAAGGGACAGAGAGAUUAGAGGAGGA